UUGAAAGCAACUACUGGUAUACUUUAUUGAAAUUCUUGUAUGAUCCACAUAAAUUGGUAUGAAGUCUAGCAAUUACAUGGAAAGGUUUUCUAACAUGAUGGUGUAACAUGACUUUCACUUUAGGAAGGGGGGAACACAACAACACACUCCUCCAUUCUCCUUAGUGCCCCUCAUAGCCAUGUAUUUUGCACUCUUCGUUGCAGUAAUCCAAGGCAUACUCAAAUGAACUUGCGCACACGGAGAAAUGAAAGAAUAGUUUUCCAUGUGGAGUCUUGGUAGCUAAACACAAUGCAGUAAGCACCAAAACAUAUAAAUUUAUACAUAUGAAAUACAUGACCCAUAUUCAUUUUGGCAUGUUAAUUAUCGAGAAACUUGUCCAAGAAAUGUAUUCAGAAAUUACCUAUAUCCCUCCCUCCUGUAGCAGGGCGACACAAAAAAGUGGUACACGUCAACAGAAGAGCAACAAAACAGAGAAUAUGUGUGUUCUUCUUGAUAGAUGCCAUGAUCAACACUGGCUUGAUCUUACUUAUUUUCUCUUGAUGUUUUCCUUCUAUAAAU
Molecule: long non-coding RNA, 558 nt
Filed under: Triticum aestivum (bread wheat)
Lineage: Eukaryota; Viridiplantae; Streptophyta; Magnoliopsida; Poales; Poaceae
Description: long non-coding RNA (TAES_LNC002871)
Source: RNAcentral